This 347-nucleotide unclassified non-coding RNA is filed under the name fungal sp. RNAcentral's name for it is "partial internal transcribed spacer region". The stretch from base 1 to 46 matches the Rfam family "Eukaryotic small subunit ribosomal RNA", at positions 1786 to 1831 of the family's 1831-position model. Lineage: Eukaryota; Fungi. The record is from RNAcentral.
AAGUCGUAACAAGGUUUCCGUAGGUGAACCUGCGGAAGGAUCAUUAACACGUAUCCAACGUUAAACCCCCCGUGAACCUUCAUUGUGCUCCCCCAUUCCGUUAGGACGCGGCAAUCCCUGGUAAAUCAUCGCCGAACAGUUUUGAUUCAGGGACCUCUGCAUGGAGUGGGCAGCAGCGCGAGGCAAGUGGCCUGGCAUUCGAAAGAAUGGCGCAGUAACGAUCGCUAGAGGCCGACACGGCCGGCUGGGCUCACGCCCCCCUAUCACCUUUGCAUGAAAACGGGCCUGCGCUUAAUUGUGCGGCCACCAAACUCGAACAACUGUUAACAAUGGAUAUCUUGGUUCUC